GGCCUCGCCAGUCAGAAGUGACUCAUAGAAACCCUGGAUCAGAGCACUGGGAUUGCUCUGCUCGAUGCUGAUAAGCAGCUGAUUCCCUGCAUACAAUUUCACAUUCAAAGCAAGGGGACUGGAAGGCUUUCCUGUCAGCCCUGCUCCGACAGGCUCCCGGAGCACUGCGUGACUUGCUACGUUACACCCGCGAGCAGUGCUCUCCUGAAAAAGAGUUUGGCCCCGUGAAACUGGAAGCAAGCAAACCACAGUCUGUGCCUGUGCUGUGCAGUGCAGAUUCUACCACACAAGAUAAAUCUGGAGAGUGACCAGAUGUCCCCAAAACAAGAAGUUAGCAAGAGAAACCUGGACGUAGGACAUUGGACCCUGGAGACACAGCAUUCCUGGUCAGUUAUGAAACUGCAGAGCCACGAAGGUUAAAUCGGCAGCCUGUUGUACUCACUAAAGAGGUGUCUCUAGAUUGCAGAGUUCCUUAAUUUUACCACGAACUUGAUGACAUCACCACUUCUCUGAAUCCUUGAGUUCUGUGUGAACGUGUUUGCACUGCUGUAGACAAAAGCUUAAAAAUAUGAUAGGUGUGGCCAAAAGGGUUCAAAACCCAGAAGACAAAGAAUAUUUAAAUUAUUAUUUUGGAUUCUAAUUUAUGCUUUGUAAUGCCUAAAACUGUCAAUACUGGUUUUGUUUGUUUCAAGGAAGCUUCAACAGUGAGAACACUGAACUUCUCUUCUUCCCAAGCUUAGUCUUUCACAAAUAAACAAGAAUAAUACAAAAAGCUGGAAUAUUACAGAAAAUGAAGAUGCUCUCCUUGGACUCCUACACUUUUCGCUGUAAGUGCUAUUCACUGUUUCGAUACCUCUGACGAUAACACAUUUGAAAAAUGGCAGAUUAAAAGCCCAUAUGCA
This is a long non-coding RNA of Cygnus olor (mute swan), 902 nucleotides long. RefSeq lists it as uncharacterized. The record is from RefSeq and is a predicted model, not a curated record. The transcript has 2 exons. NCBI's taxonomy places the organism in Eukaryota, Metazoa, Chordata, Aves, Anseriformes, Anatidae.